Long non-coding RNA from Magallana angulata, 743 nucleotides. RefSeq lists it as uncharacterized. Lineage: Eukaryota; Metazoa; Mollusca; Bivalvia; Ostreida; Ostreidae. The record is from RefSeq and is a predicted model, not a curated record. The transcript is spliced from 4 exons.
AGAUAAGGACUAGGUACCAUUCAUGGACUUAGGUCUUCCCAUACACAAUACAUCCAUGACACAGCCCUGUUCCACAAUGAAAAAAAGCGGACAGCCAGACAACGAAGAUGGCGAACCAAAUAUUGGUGAUGAAAUUUACAAAGUGGCAGAAGCAUGGUGACAGGAACAACAGGAGGACAGAAAUAUGGAAAGGAGAUAAAAAUCCAGGUCAGCAAAUCUGACCGGUUUACAUCAUUUUCUUCCAUGAUGAUCGGUGAUGCAAUGUGUUCCGGAAGUCAGGAAGUAAAAAUUAAACUGAAUGCCAUAUUUUUCCGAAAAGGGAACAGCAAUGUUGGGACGUAAUUUCGUGUAUUCCCAUUCUGAUAAAAGGAAAUACGACUUUUAAACUCUAACUUAUUAAUUUGUGGAGGAUGUUAAUUCGUGGAUGAGAGGGACCCACGAAUUUCACGAAAAGUGAGCCACCACGAAAUCCAAUGAUUUCACAAUAUUAUUUUUUCUCUGUAAGCAUUAAAGUGAUUAUUUGUACCGAAUAAGCUAAACCACGUAUUUUUUAAAAAAAGAAGAUUCAAUUUUCCAUGAAAGACACUGCCUUCAUACCAGUAUGCAAUUUGGUACACUGUAUGCCAUUGGGACAAAGAAGAAAUAACUGGGAUUAUACUUUGAUCAAAUUUAUUAUUUGCAUGUCAUGUAUAUACAUAUAUAUACUACAUUUGCCUAAGCUAAAUAAAUUUUAUUAAGUUGUA